This 253-nucleotide ribosomal RNA is filed under the name uncultured bacterium. Its description in RNAcentral is "partial 16S ribosomal RNA". It matches the Rfam family "Bacterial small subunit ribosomal RNA", at positions 524 to 776 of the family's 1533-position model. The record is from RNAcentral.
UACAGAGGUCCCGAGCGUUGUUCGGAUUCACUGGGCGUAAAGGGUGCGUAGGUGGUCGGGUAAGUCUGAGGUGAAAUCUCCGAGCUCAACUCGGAAACUGCCUUGGAUACUAUCCGGCUUGAGGGUUGGAGGGGGGACUGGAAUUCUCGGUGUAGCAGUGAAAUGCGUAGAUAUCGAGAGGAACACCAGUGGCGAAGGCGAGUCCCUGGACAACUCCUGACGCUGAGGCACGAAAGCUAGGGGAGCAAACAGG